RNAcentral lists this ribosomal RNA (504 nucleotides) under Triticum aestivum (bread wheat). RNAcentral's name for it is "partial small subunit ribosomal RNA". Lineage: Eukaryota; Viridiplantae; Streptophyta; Magnoliopsida; Poales; Poaceae. The record is from RNAcentral.
AUGCUUAGAUAUGAUCUGGAAGACCAGCUCACGGUCAUCUACUCAGACGAGGAGGCCUACUGGCGUCUGAGAGGUACUCAGAAUUGGGUCCUUAAAGGGGACGCCAAUACCGCCUACUUCCAGGCCAUUGCAAACGGCCGCCGUCGCCGGAACUCCAUCCCCCUUCUUUGGGACGGGGAGCACCUCCUACAGAGCCCCGAGGACAUCCGGGCUCAUGUAGACGGCUUUUACAGAGACCUAUUCUCUGCUUCCCCUCGGGGAGGUCUUGCCCUGGCGCAAGAUAUUUGGCCUGCCCACAGUUGCGUUUCGCCUGCGGACAACGAGGCCCUCACGGCUCCGUUUUCCGAGGCGGAAGUCUGGGCGGCUAUUAAGAGCAUGAACCCAUCCUCGGCUCCGGGUCCUGAUGGGCUACCUGUGAAGUUCUUCCAGAACUUCUGGGAGGUGAUCAAACCUGAGGUGAUGGCACUAUUUGACGAGUUCUUCGUCGGGUCCAUCGACCUCGCC